GUACUGUACUCCAGUACCAGUUUAUGAAUUAAAAAAAAAAAAAAGAUUGGCAUAAAUGAAAUAGAAAGCUGUAUAAAAAUGUGCACAAAUGUUAAAACAGAGAAAAAUUGACAGUAGCCCAAAUGUUCAAAUGAAAGAAACUAUUGAAAUUAUGCUACAUAGAUUUGAUGGCAUAUAUAGUCACUAAAAUAAUUAUUUUGAAAGAAAUAUGCUCACAGGGGUUAAGUGGGUAGGGCGGGGGGGAAAGGAUUGAA
RNAcentral lists this long non-coding RNA (254 nucleotides) under Bos taurus (domestic cattle). RNAcentral describes it as "long non-coding RNA NONBTAT021867". The record is from RNAcentral. Lineage: Eukaryota; Metazoa; Chordata; Mammalia; Artiodactyla; Bovidae.